Small nucleolar RNA from Phyllostomus hastatus (greater spear-nosed bat), 86 nucleotides. RefSeq annotates it as small nucleolar RNA SNORD79. Lineage: Eukaryota; Metazoa; Chordata; Mammalia; Chiroptera; Phyllostomidae. The record is from RefSeq and is a predicted model, not a curated record. The transcript has a single exon.
UGCUGUUGGUGAUGAUUUUUGAAAUUAAAAACAGAUGGGAAUCUCUCUGAAAAAGAAUGAAGUUCUCUUUAAUAACUGAAACAGUA